GGGCGCAAGCGUUGUCCGGAAUUAUUGGGCGUAAAGAGCUCGUAGGCGGUCUGUCGCGUCUGCUGUGACGCGGGGCUCAACCCCGCGCCUGCAGUGGGUACGGGCAGACUAGAGUGCGGUAGGGGAGACUGGAAUUCCUGGUGUAGCGGUGGAAUGCGCAGAUAUCAGGAGGAACACCGGUGGCGAAGGCGGGUCUCUGGGCCGUUACUGACGCUGAGGAGCGAAAGCAUGGGGAGCGAACAGGAUUAGAUACCCUGGUAGUCCAUGCCGUAAAACGUUGGGCACUAGGUGUGGGACCCAUUCCACGGGUUCCGUGCCGCAGCUAACGCAUUAAGUGCCCCGCCUGGGGAGUACGGCCGCAAGGCUAAAACUCAAAGGAAUUGACGGGGGCCCGCACAAGCGGCGGAGCAUGCGGAUUAAUUCGAUGCAACGCGAAGAACCUUACCAAGCUGACAUACACCGAAGACAGAGAUGG
This 475-nucleotide non-coding RNA is filed under the name Georgenia sp. SUBG003. RNAcentral describes it as "bacterial SSU rRNA". It matches the Rfam family "Bacterial small subunit ribosomal RNA", at positions 530 to 1009 of the family's 1533-position model. Lineage: Bacteria; Bacillati; Actinomycetota; Actinomycetes; Allobogoriellales; Allobogoriellaceae. The record is from RNAcentral.